AUGGAAAGGGGGUGUUUGGAAUGAAGUUUGAUCCAAGAUCAUAUAUCUUCAAUUUCCUUUGUGUUUGCUUCUUGAUUUACCUUCAUAAAUUUGUUUAUCAUCACUUCAUGCAUGGGAUGGGACUGAUCUCGGACCAGGCUUCAUUCUUCACACCUACCUUUCCUUGUAGAAGCAAUCAACCACAACAAGACAAAGAGUGUUACAAGGAACUCAGCAUAUAGUUAGAAGCAUCGGUUGUACAUGUAUAUGUGUGUGUAUAUAUAUAUAUAUAUAUAUAUAUAUAUAUAUAUGCAGAACUCAUUCUAGUAUCACAUAGGGGUAGGGUACAAGAAUCUCGCUGUCUUCUUGCUCUACGUUUGUGAGCGGUAUUCAGAUUCCUUGGAAUAUAUCAUACAACAUUUUGUUUUUUUUUAAAAGCAUAUGUAUAAUAUGUUGGAUUUAUUUUAUAGGAAAUGUCAGGAAGUUGAAUGCAUGCUUGAUAUGGAUAAAUUGAUAUUUUACUGACUUCUAUGAUAUUGUUUUUGUUAAUUUGGUAUGUAUGGAACAACAUUAAAACUUGUUCUUUAAGCGCGUGGUAAAAGCUAUAUGUCACGUGACAAAGAACUAUAUCAUUGCAAAGUUAUGGCGUGAUGUGAGUUAAAAACUGAAGUCACUUUUAACCUACACCACAUGAAAUUGUGAUGUACACAGUUAUUGGAUAGCUUAUGGUUGAACUUAACUUAUCUUCCUUUU
Non-coding RNA from Vigna umbellata (rice bean), 732 nucleotides. NCBI's taxonomy places the organism in Eukaryota, Viridiplantae, Streptophyta, Magnoliopsida, Fabales, Fabaceae. The record is from RefSeq and is a predicted model, not a curated record.